UACGGGGGGGGCAAGCGUUGUUCGGAAUUACUGGGCGUAAAGGGCUCGUAGGCGGUCUGUUAAGUCGGAUGUGAAAACUCUGGGCUCAACCCAGAGCCUGCAUCCGAAACUGGCAGGCUAGAGUUCUGGAGGGGGUAGCGGAAUUCCUGGUGUAGCGGUGAAAUGCGUAGAUAUCUGGAGGAACACCGGUGGCGAAGGCGCCCACCUGGCCUGCUACUGACGCUGAAGCUCGAAAGCUAGGGGAGCAAACGGG
RNAcentral lists this ribosomal RNA (253 nucleotides) under uncultured bacterium. Its description in RNAcentral is "partial 16S ribosomal RNA". It matches the Rfam family "Bacterial small subunit ribosomal RNA", at positions 524 to 776 of the family's 1533-position model. The record is from RNAcentral.